GGGCAUACCGAGUUGGAUCGGGGCUCGGGCGAUCCUCCCACCCUUUGUGUACCUACCUCUGUUGCUUUGGCGGGCCGCGGUCCUCCGCGGCCGCCCCCCUCCCCGGGGGGGUGGCCAGCGCCCGCCAGAGGACCAUCAAACUCCAGUCAGUAAACGAUGCAGUCUGAAAAACAUUUAAUAAACUAAAACUUUCAACAACGGAUCUCUUGGUUCUGGCAUCGAUGAAGAACGCAGCGAAAUGCGAUAAGUAAUGUGAAUUGCAGAAUUCAGUGAAUCAUCGAAUCUUUGAACGCACAUUGCGCCCUUUGGUAUUCCGAAGGGCAUGCCUGUUCGAGCGUCAUUACAACCCUCAAGCUCUGCUUGGUAUUGGGCACCGUCCUUUGCGGGCGCGCCUCAAAGACCUCGGCGGUGGCGUCUUGCCUCAAGCGUAGUAGAACAUACAUCUCGCUUCGGAGCGCAGGGCGUCGCCCGCCGGACGAACCUUCUGAACUUUUCUCAAGGUUGACCUCGGAUCAUGUAGGGAUACCCGCUGAACUUAAGCAUAUCAAUAAGCGGAGGAA
RNAcentral lists this ribosomal RNA (560 nucleotides) under Botryosphaeria dothidea. Its description in RNAcentral is "eukaryotic LSU rRNA". The stretch from base 187 to 340 matches the Rfam family "5.8S ribosomal RNA". Lineage: Eukaryota; Fungi; Ascomycota; Dothideomycetes; Botryosphaeriales; Botryosphaeriaceae. The record is from RNAcentral.